CGAAUUAGUUGAUCGCCGAGAACUGGAUUAAUAAUGAUAACAACAAUUUAGAAAAAAGGAAAUAUCAAGAUUAACAUAAUGUUAUACAAUGAGAUCAGUUAAUUGUAUCAACAUUUUCAACAAGAAUUAGAUGAUGAUAAUGGUGAUGAGGAUGAUGAUAAAUGAUUCUGAUGCUGAUGAUUACCGGUAGACGAGGUGUUAAUGCCCUGAAGGUGCAUCCGUUUCUGACAAUCUGAACACGACAUGAGGAAUCGGGUCACAGCUUCACGUGGUAGAAAUGCAAACAUCUCGGCGACCUUUUUUUACGAUUCGGAUAAAAAGAUAUUUAUACAUUAUUAAGAUGAUGAUAAGAUGAAAAGUUUUCUCUCUUUCAUCUACCUUCUUUGCUUCAUCCUCAUCCUCAUCCUCAUCCUUAUCCUCAUCAUCUUCACCAUAUUGUAACAGCUCAACUGAAGAUGGAUUAUAAAUUAUCAAUAACCUUUGAUGGUCCAAAGCAGCUCCUUCGAUAUCAUUUAUACGUAAGGAUAAAUAAUUUAAACUUUUCAUGUUCCUCUUUCAAUCUCUCUCACUCUUGAUAUUAUUUUAUUAUUAUGAUGAUAUUUUGUUCAACUAAUCUGAAAAUUUGAACCAUCCAAACAAAUAGAUGUUGAAACAUAAAACUAGAAAUACUGAGAUACACUUCAAUAUCAUCACAUCAACUGAAUUCCCUCAAAUGUUCAACAUGAAUGAAACUGUUAAAAUCUGAGGAAAAUAUUUGUUCCUUUUUACUUUUCGGACUUUCAAAGAGAAUCUCGAGUUGUUAUUCAAAUUGACCAUUUAUAUUACACUUUAUGUUUGUAGACAGAAAACUUUCGAUUUCCUCUUUCUUCUUCCAUCAUCUAAUCAUAUUCUGCUCUCUCACUGACCAUGUAACAGCAGCAACCAAACAUGAAGGCUCCACAUGGUCAAUCCAGAAUAUCAUCUUUUCAUCUCCAGGAGAUUGAGAAGAACAAGAAAACCACCUUAGACUUAAACGAUGCAAAGUCUUUUCUCUUUCAUAUCCAUUACUUGAUUUUCCAUCAAUGAUUUCAUCUCUUCUUCUCUCAUUACUGACCUGUGUUAUUGGUCUCACCGGGAGCUUUACUUUCCUUUUAGGACAUCUCCCGAUCUUGAUCAUAUUCUCUUCCCUUUGCAUCUCUUACUUUUUCAUCUUCUUCUCUCUCACCAAUCUCUAUUCUUCAUUACGAAAACCUUAAUGGCAUCUUCUUGCUUCCUCAUUCACAUCACUUUCUCUCCAGUUCUCCUCUUCCUCUCUAUCCAGUUCCACCCCCGCCAUUAUCAUCUUACUCUAACUUUCUCCAUCUUCCUCCCUCCCUUUCUUCAUCUCCUUUGCUAUCUUUUCCAUCUUCAUCUUCAUCUUCUUACUUCUUAUUAUCUUCCACUUUUGUGUCCCAAAGAACCAAAAGAAUCUGUAACCUGGAUCAAGUCUUUUCUUUUGCUUCCUAAUUCUCUAUCUCGAGGAUCUUCACAAUCGACAAAAAUCCUUUUCGAUAUAUACAAGGUAGUUCGAGUUGAAUUCUUUACUAGAAUUCUAUUUCACAUUUUCUGUUCUUCUUAUCCUUCUCAUCUUAUUUUUCUCUUUUCUUUCGUUUCUAUUUCCUUUUUUUUUCGAUGAACAUCCUCAUCCUCAUCUUCAACUCUCUCCCUCAUCCUUUCAAACCGAAGUCUUAAGAAAAUAGAUUCGUAAUCAUCUGAUUGUAUCAAACUACUCACCGCUCGAUA
Long non-coding RNA from Panonychus citri (citrus red mite), 1761 nucleotides. RefSeq lists it as uncharacterized. The transcript has 3 exons. The record is from RefSeq and is a predicted model, not a curated record. Lineage: Eukaryota; Metazoa; Arthropoda; Arachnida; Trombidiformes; Tetranychidae.